This 414-nucleotide ribosomal RNA is filed under the name uncultured microorganism. Its description in RNAcentral is "bacterial SSU rRNA". It matches the Rfam family "Archaeal small subunit ribosomal RNA", at positions 459 to 872 of the family's 1478-position model. The record is from RNAcentral.
CAGCCGCCGCGGUAAUACCGGCGGCCCGAGUGGCGGUCACUAUUAUUGGGCUUAAAACGUCCGUAGCCGGGUUGGGAAGUCCUCCGGGAAAUCUGGCCGCUUAACGGUCAGAAUGCCGGAGGAUACUCCCAGCCUAGGGAGCGGGAGAGGCCGAGGGUAUUCCCGGAGUAGGGGUGAAAUCCUAUAAUCCCGGGAGGACCACCUGUGGCGCAGGCGCUCGGCUGGAACGCGUCCGACGGUGAGGGACGAAGGCCAGGGGAGCAAACCGGAUUAGAUACCCGGGUAGUCCUGGCUGUAAACGAUGCGGACUUUGUGUCGGACAAGCUAUGAGCUUGUCCGGUGCCGGAGGGAAACCGUUAAGUCCGCCGCCUGGGGAGUACGGCCGCAAGGCUGAAACUUAAAGGAAUUGGCGGG